RNAcentral lists this ribosomal RNA (504 nucleotides) under uncultured bacterium. Its description in RNAcentral is "bacterial SSU rRNA". It matches the Rfam family "Bacterial small subunit ribosomal RNA", at positions 29 to 524 of the family's 1533-position model. The record is from RNAcentral.
AUUGAACGCUGGCGGCAUGCGUAACACAUGCAAGUCGAACGGUGUUUGGUGCUUGCACCAGACAUAGUGGCGGACGGGUGAGUAAUGCGUAGGAAUCUGUCUUAGAGAGGGGGACAACCCGAGGAAACUUGGGCUAAAACCGCAUAUUCUCGAGAGAGGAAAGCAGGGGACCGGAAACGGCCUUGUGCUCUAAGGUGAGCCUACGUCGGAUUAGCUAGUUGGUAGGGUAAAAGCCUACCAAGGCGAUGAUCUGUAGCUGGUCUGAGAGGACGGACAGCCACACUGGGACUGAGACACGGCCCAGACUCCUACGGGAGGCAGCAGUGGGGAAUAUUGGACAAUGGGGGGAACCCUGAUCCAGCGAUGCCGCGUGUGUGAAGAAGGCCUGCGGGUUGUAAAAGCACUUUCAGUGGGAAAGAGAAGCGUCUUGUGAAUAAUGGGACGUGGAGACGUUACUCACAGAAGAAAGCACCGGCUAAACUCUGUGCCAGCAGCCGCGGUAAU